CCUACGUGGCGCAGCAGUGAGGAAUAUUGGUCAAUGGGCGCGAGCCUGAACCAGCCAAGUAGCGUGAAGGAUGACUGCCCUACGGGUUGUAAACUUCUUUUAUAAAGGAAUAAAGUGAGGCACGUGUGCCUUUUUGUAUGUACUUUAUGAAUAAGGAUCGGCUAACUCCGUGCCAGCAGCCGCGGUAAUACGGAGGAUCCGAGCGUUAUCCGGAUUUAUUGGGUUUAAAGGGAGCGUAGAUGGGUUGUUAAGUCAGUUGUGAAAGUUUGCGGCUCAACCGUAAAAUUGCAAUUGAUACUGGCAGUCUUGAGUACAGUUGAGGUAGGCGGAAUUCGUGGUGUAGCGGUGAAAUGCUUAGAUAUCACGAAGAACUCCGAUUGCGAAGGCAGCUUACUAAACUGCCACUGACAUUGAUGCUCGAAAGUGUGGGUAUCAAACAGGAUUAGAUACCCUAGUAGUC
Molecule: ribosomal RNA, 460 nt
Filed under: uncultured bacterium
Lineage: Bacteria
Description: partial 16S ribosomal RNA
Rfam family: Bacterial small subunit ribosomal RNA
Source: RNAcentral